Long non-coding RNA from Pristis pectinata (smalltooth sawfish), 1245 nucleotides. RefSeq lists it as uncharacterized. The transcript has 5 exons. Lineage: Eukaryota; Metazoa; Chordata; Chondrichthyes; Rhinopristiformes; Pristidae. The record is from RefSeq and is a predicted model, not a curated record.
AUCACCUGGAUUGCAAAUGUUUGCUUGACUCUGUAAUCCUGGCUUCAUCUUUGCAUAUUUCUGCCUCAAGUUCAGAAGCUCCAGUCAAGGCCAGGAUGUGGUAUCUAAUGAGCCAAAAAAAAUUACAGUCAGUGAAGGCUGCAUUAGGAGACAGUAGCACAUUUAGGUUGCUGCCAAAUUUGAUGCAUAUGGCAUAUGAGCCAUAGCCCCUCAAGGGACAGUUCUACAAAGGGGGAAAGAGGAUUGCAGUUGAAGGAAUAAAAAAAUGAAAGCCUCAUGAAGAGUCUGCAGUGCAAAAUGCCACAGAAACCCUUCGCACAUAGCAAUUCCACCAGACACUUGCAACUGAAUAAUUCAUGGAUUAAAUCAUCCUGGAUUCACCUUUCAGAUAGGCAGCCAAGAAGUUCGCCUGACCAGACAGCAGCAAUUCAGAAGCAGGAAAUCUGCCUCUAAGGCACCCUGUCACCAAGUCUGACACUCGCAGCCAACAGCUGAGACAUGGUAACGUUGCAAGAGUUUCCAGUGAUUCAUGAAAUGACAGGAUCUCCAGGUGCUGCAAGCUCCAAGUCUCCUGACCUCAGGCGUACGAUGACUAUCUAACAUGACACUGGAUUAGGGCAGUCCUGAUUGACAAAAGUCAGUCCUGUGCUGCUUGACUACAAUGCUGCCGGCUGAAUAUUUACAACAUCCUUUCAUGGAGACACAAGAGACUACAGAUGCUGAAACCUGGAGUAACAAAAUGCCGGAAAAACUCAGUGGGUCAGGCAGGAUCUGUGGAUGGAAAUGGACAGUCAUUUUGGGUCAAGACCCUUCCUCUGGACUGAAAGAUUUCCAGCAACUACAGUAUUUUAUACUUCACAAUCCCAACAUUUCUUUUCUCUGCACUAUUCACUUCAGCUCCUUCUACUUACAUUCUCCCCAGACAGAUCAGCUGCAGUUAACAAGCAUUCACUACCCUCCCUCAGCUAUCAUCGUAACUUUUUGUGUUGUUCAGUCUCACUUUGUCUUCACCCUACCACAGACAUUCGAUUUGUUUUCCCCAACCUCUCCCCAUCUUUGCAACUUAAGACAUCUCUGAUUUCAGAAAUUUUCCCAGUUUUGAUGAAUGUUCAUUGAUCUCAUGGUUCUUUAUUGCGUAGAAGGAGGCCAUUUGACCCAUCGAGUCUUACCACACCAAUAGUUCCAUUUCUGCCUUAUUUCCCUGCAACAUUCACUUUCAUUGUCCUAUUAAUUCACCACUGAUUC